GAUGAACGCUGACAGAAUGCUUAACACAUGCAAGUCGAUUCAAGUUACCUUCGGGUAAUGAGGAUGGCGGACGGGUGAGUAACGCGUAAGGAACUUGCCUCUUGGUCUGGGACAACUGUUGGAAACGACAGCUAAUACCGGAUAUUAUGAGAUUCCCGCAUGGGAAACUUAUGAAAGCUAUAUGCGCCAAGAGAGAGCCUUGCGUUCCAUUAGCUAGUUGGUGGGGUAACGGCCCACCAAGGCGACGAUGGAUAGCCGGCCUGAGAGGGUGAACGGCCACAAGGGGACUGAGACACGGCCCUUACUCCUACGGGAGGCAGCAGUGGGGAAUAUUGGACAAUGGACCAAAAGUCUGAUCCAGCAAUUCUGUGUGCACGAUGAAGGUCUUCGGAUUGUAAAGUGCUUUCAGUUGGGAAGAAGCAAGUGACGGUACCAACAGAAGAAGCGACGGCUAAAUACGUGCCAGCAGCCGCGGUAAUACGUAUGUCGCAAGCGUUAUCCGGAUUUAUUGGGCGUAAAGCGCGUCUAGGCGGAAAAAUAAGUCUGAUGUUAAAAUGCGGGGCUCAACUCCGUAUUGCGUUGGAAACUGUUUUUCUAGAGUACUGGAGAGGUGGGCGGAACUACNAGUGUAGAGGUGAAAUUCGUAGAUAUUUGUAGGAAUGCCGAUGGAGAAGUCAGCUCACUGGACAGAUACUGACGCUGAAGCGCGAAAGCGUGGGGAGCAAACAGGAUUAGAUACCCUGGNAGUCCACGCCGUAAACGA
Molecule: ribosomal RNA, 763 nt
Filed under: uncultured prokaryote
Description: bacterial SSU rRNA
Rfam family: Bacterial small subunit ribosomal RNA
Source: RNAcentral